AAGAAGGAGAGCGAAAAUGUGUCAUCAACUGAACAAACACUUUUAUCGUCGUUUUGAAUUAAAUACUGACGAGAUAAAAUACCGCAGUUCGUAUUCGAUUUUUUUAAAACUCAAAGUAACAAUCAUAAAAAAAAGUGAUUUUUAUAAGUGAAGAUGGCUUUUGUAGCAUCAGAUUUAAAGAAUUUGUUUAAGAUCAAGUUUAAGGCUCGCUAUGAUCCUCUUACUGAUCGAUAUAACCGAAUGUUUAUGGUAAAGCUCUUAAUGGCUUGUACUAUAGUUACUGGAUUGAACUGGUAUGCAGAUAAAGUUCAUUGCAUUGUUUCAGGAGAACAAGAUCCUGGUGGUUUUAAACCUUUUGCAUCCAGCACAUGUUGGAUUCAGGGUUUGUAUGUUUACAAAGAAAUGAGGUCUCGCAUAGAUGAAAGUUCUUAUUAUGGCAUUCCAAAAGAUAUGGAUUAUGAUGGACUCAUGAACAAUAAAGUGCUUUGUCCUACUGAAUCUAAGUUAAGCACAUUAGCAGGUGUGGACUGUGUUCCAAUGAAAAAGACUUUCUACUUGCAGUAUCAAUGGAUGCCAUUUUACUUAGCAACAUUAGCAGUUUUAUAUUACUUUCCAUACUUUUUCUAUAAAACUGUUAACAGUGAUCUUAUUGAAUUAACUGAAGAAAUCACUAAGAAUGAAAACAAUUUAGACAAGAUUAUUGACCGCUUCUUUCCUUACAAACUUAAUACACGAACAAGUGGAGUUUUGCGUUUGACUCUUCGGCAAUUAUUUAAUUUGCUAAUCAAAUUAGCAUAUGUAGUAAUUAAUUUUUUGGCAUUUUUUGGUACCAAUAGCCUUUUACACGGAGACUUUAAAGGUUAUGGGAAAAAAUGGUUGGAUUGGACCAGGCUUAACAAUACUGUUGCUUACGAUUACAUGGGUGUACGAGAUCACCCUAAACCAGGUAAUGAGCUUUUACCUCCAUUUGGAUAUUGUGAGCUGUACUCUUCAUCAAAAGAUAUAAAGGCUUCAUUUGGAAAUCAGCACAAACUUUUAUGUGAAAUCUCACCACACAUCUUAUACCAGUACGUCUUUGUUGUGCUUUGGUUUGGAAUGGUCUUGGGAAUGGUUGUGUCAAUUGUUGGCUUAAUUAUUUCAGCUGUUAGUUAUGCAAUUGGGUUCAUUGGAAUAAACCAACAUAGUCGCAACAGUGAAUUGAAAAAGUUAUUCAAUUCAUUGUGUUAUCGCGAGAUUGAAUAUCUGGAACUUUUGAGAAAGAAGAACAUUUCCCUAUACAGUGAUGUACUUUUAAGAUUAAAAGACCGGGCUCAUGAUACACUGCCGCAACCACCUCACAAUCCAAACGAUCGUCGAAGCAGCAUUGAUAAAUCCGAUAUCCCAAUGUAUCCAAUAAAACGAAAAGGAGCUCCAUCGUAUUAGUAAAUUUACUUCACAUUUUGUAUUCAUAUAGCCGAUUUUUUUUGGCGUUUCUAACUCUUUUUAACUUUCAAUACCUGUUAUUUUUUAUAGUUUAAAUGGUGAGAUUAAAACUUUUCUCGAUUUUCCUUAAGAAUAAAAUUUUAUAAUUAUGUACGAUAAAGUUUUACUUCAUAUGUUUAUAACAAUAAAAUUGUGAUUUUUGUCAA
Long non-coding RNA from Hydra vulgaris (swiftwater hydra), 1628 nucleotides. RefSeq annotates it as innexin inx3. The record is from RefSeq and is a predicted model, not a curated record. Lineage: Eukaryota; Metazoa; Cnidaria; Hydrozoa; Anthoathecata; Hydridae.